CAAAUAUCCAGCAAAGUUAGAGAAAGUUAGAAGGCUUGGAGUAUAACCGUAAGUGACAGCAAGAGCAGUUCCUACUCCCCAUAGGAAGUAAGUAAGAGAGUUCCAAGCUCUAGGCAGCAAGAGUUUUUUUUCGAAUUCAUCCCCUCAUCAGGGGCGUCUUCGCGCGUCGUUUAAGACCAAAUCAAGGAAAACCUUCGGCUAAGGAAAUAUCUUUUGAGGUUGAGCGUGUACGAGGAGGCAAAGGUGUUGGGUAAUGGUUUUUUUAAUAAGUAGCAAUAGGUAGUCCAAAGUAGUGUAUCUUCACACAUGCUACUUUGUCUUAGACUCUUCCGCUGC
Salvia splendens (bonfire salvia) is the source of this 336-nucleotide long non-coding RNA. RefSeq lists it as uncharacterized. The transcript is spliced from 4 exons. The record is from RefSeq and is a predicted model, not a curated record. NCBI's taxonomy places the organism in Eukaryota, Viridiplantae, Streptophyta, Magnoliopsida, Lamiales, Lamiaceae.